RNAcentral lists this ribosomal RNA (253 nucleotides) under uncultured bacterium. RNAcentral describes it as "partial 16S ribosomal RNA". It matches the Rfam family "Bacterial small subunit ribosomal RNA", at positions 524 to 776 of the family's 1533-position model. The record is from RNAcentral.
UACGGAGGGUGCGAGCGUUGUCCGGAAUCACUGGGCGUAAAGGGCGCGUAGGCGGCCCGGUAAGGUUGCGGUGAAAGCCCGGGGCUCAACCCCGGGUCGGCCGUGGCAACUGCUGGGCUGGAGCACAGUAGAGGCGGGUGGAAUUCCGGGUGUAGCGGUGGAAUGCGUAGAGAUCCGGAAGAACACCGGUGGCGAAGGCGGCCCGCUGGGCUGUUGCUGACGCUGAGACGCGAAAGCGUGGGGAGCGAACAGG